Long non-coding RNA from Acanthopagrus latus (yellowfin seabream), 541 nucleotides. RefSeq lists it as uncharacterized. The record is from RefSeq and is a predicted model, not a curated record. The transcript is spliced from 3 exons. NCBI's taxonomy places the organism in Eukaryota, Metazoa, Chordata, Actinopteri, Spariformes, Sparidae.
GUAACAUGACUCCUGCUGCCUUUGGGCUUCGAUUUUUGAAGCUUUAAACCGGAACGAAAAACUGAUUAUUUGUUGUCAAAGCCGCCGAAAACCAUUCAAAGGAGAUCAGCAGAGAGCACAGCUCCGUCAUAUCAUUCCAGCCAGAGAAGUCCAUGUGGAGUUCAACAGAGCAGGCACUCGUCAUCGGUGACUGAGGAGACCAGCCAAACGCUGCUGUCAAGUACUCACUGUUCACUCGUUCUUUCUCCUGCUCUUUCCUUUCUCCAUGUCCACUUUCUAUUGUUCACAUGCAAAAGACUUGUUUUCAAGCUAGACUGUUACACUGUUCUUGGUGCUAUUUUAAAUCAGUGUUACACUGUUCUUGAUGCUAUUUUAUUUCAGCAUCAGAGGUUAUGCUCAUGAGUUCAGUAAAGCUUGUAACUAAUUAUUUUAUUGGAGACUGUUUCUUCCAAAUGUGGUAAUGCCAUACCUUGUUAUGUUUGCAAUACAAAUGUUCUCAGUUUUACUAAUCUUACAAAGUUUGCUCUACAAAUGAGCACUU